This 329-nucleotide unclassified non-coding RNA is filed under the name soil metagenome. Its description in RNAcentral is "partial contains 5.8S ribosomal RNA, internal transcribed spacer 2, and large subunit ribosomal RNA". The stretch from base 1 to 120 matches the Rfam family "5.8S ribosomal RNA", at positions 35 to 154 of the family's 154-position model. The record is from RNAcentral.
GAUGAAGAACGCAGCGAAAUGCGAUAAGUAGUGUGAAUUGCAGAAUUCAGUGAAUCAUCGAAUCUUUGAACGCACGUUGCGCCCCUUGGUAUCCCGAGGGGCAUGCCUGUUCGAGCGUCAUUUCACCACUCAAGCCUGGCUUGGUGUUGGGCGACGUCCCCUUUGGGGACGCGCCUCGAAACGCUCGGCGGCGUGGCACCGGCUUUAAGCGUAGCAGAAUCUUUCGCUUUGGAAGUCGGGGCCCCGUCUGCCGGAAGACCUACUCGCAAGGUUGACCUCGGAUCAGGCAGGGAUACCCGCUGAACUUAAGCAUAUCAAUAAGCGGAGGA